This 22-nucleotide non-coding RNA is filed under the name Arabidopsis thaliana (thale cress). Lineage: Eukaryota; Viridiplantae; Streptophyta; Magnoliopsida; Brassicales; Brassicaceae. The record is from RNAcentral.
UAGAAGAUUCAGAUGCCACACU